Long non-coding RNA from Chinchilla lanigera (long-tailed chinchilla), 2278 nucleotides. NCBI's taxonomy places the organism in Eukaryota, Metazoa, Chordata, Mammalia, Rodentia, Chinchillidae. The record is from Ensembl.
AUUUUACACUUACAUUUAUCCGCUGAAUGUUGCUACCAGUAAAUUCAUUUUGUCACAUUGUUUUCUACACAAACACACAUGUCGAUAAAAUAGGUAAAUAUAAAUAUACAUAAGCAUAUGUGUGCACACUGCAUAUAAACAUACAUGUAUAUUAGUUAUAUACAUUUCUAGUUUUUCAUAAGAUGGAUAAAAUAUUAAUGCAUACUACAAACAGUUUACCACUGGACUCUGGUAAACCAUAUUUGCUUAAAUAUUUUCAUUGUAUAAUCAAUUUAAAAUCACUUUCAAUGAAUGUAUGAUAAAACAUUUUUCUGAAAAGAACUCAAUAUAUUCAUAAAUGCAUUUCCAGAAAAAAAAUAUCAGCAUGUAUCUUCUCAAACUGUAUGAAUAUAUAGAAAUAAGUCCAGUUACCUCAUUCUCCCUUUGACUUGGAAGGAUUUACCUUAAUCUGGUUUCUACUUGAUUCUAUGGUUUAUGGAAGUUUGUUUCUGUUUAGUUAUCAUAGUACUAGGCACUAAGGAAAAUUUGAUUUAAAAAAAUCAUUACAUUGUGAUAUCAUAAUCCCUCAGUGUCUCCUGUCCUGGAUCAAGGAGAACUGGUUGGAUCCUCAGGAGGGACACUAAAGAGGAGGACUGGAUGGAUCCCCAGGAGGGACACUAGACUCUGUGGACAGAAGGAGACUUGAUGGAUCCUCAGGAGGACCCCAGACUCUGUAGACGAAGGACAGGUUGGAUCCUCAGGAGUACUCCAGGCUCUGCAGACAGAGGACAAGGAUGGUGUCCCUGGGUGGAACUCAGAACCCCUACCCACUCUUGCACCUCUCUCUUCCUGACAGCCAAGUAUGAGCAUAAAUUCUAGAAGCUCACCCUUACAUGCAUGUGGGUUACUCAUUGAAAGCUCCAACCAAGCAGCAUGUGUGACAGCAGCAAAGAAGUGAGUGAAGGAGAGAACAAGCCCAUGCAUAACGCAGUGCCAUAUUCGACACUGCUUGAAAGCAAUGCAGACUUCUGGCCUUGCUUCAGGCCAUGGGACACAGACAAGCAUCCCACAGGCAAAGGCCUGUGCACAGCUUGCCUCCUCUUGCUGCUCUUUGGGAGGCUGAUGUCCUUGCUGAAGGCUGACAGACUUUGUGGAGCAGAUGUUCCAGCCAAGAUUCGCCCCAACUGAGCAGCCUAUCAGCUGCCCAAACAGGUAAAUAAAACCACCCUGGCACAGGCAGCCCAGAGCUGCCCCAGAUCCGAAGAACUGCACAGUUAACUCACAUACACAGAAGUAUUAUUUUGAAGUAUUUAUUAUUUUUGGAGUGGUCUGUUACAUAGCAAAGGCUAACUCACUGUGGAAAGAAUUAAAUGGCUAUGCGCUUUUAUAGUCAUACCAACAAGCUGUUAUGGCUUGCACCUAGAUGUUUCCCCAAAAGCCUCAUGCACUUAUAGGAGGGACUUUUGUGAGCUAGGUGGGUCUAGGAUGUGUGAUGCUGCGACUAAGGGAGGGUGUGGAUAAUGAAAGCCCCACCCUGGGUGUGGGUGGCACUAAUCAAUAGGCUGUGGCCUGGAUGGAAUAUAAAGGGACAGAAAGAAGGCAGGCUCACUGCUGCUGCUUGCUUGCUUGCUGUUGCCUGCUAUCUGCUCUCCUGUGGACUGUUACUCCCUGUGAUGCCCUUCUGCUAUGCCACCCUGCUUAGAGCUAGCUAACCACGGACUGAAACCUUUACAGAGUGUGAGCUUAAUAAAUUUUUCCUUCCUUAACUUGUGGGUGUUGGGUAUUUUUUCCAAGAAACAACAACAACAAAAAACUAAGAUACAAACUAUUAGGGAUUUUGUUUCUACAACAUCAUAUCAUAGAAAGUUUUCAGUAAUUGCCUUUUACCUAAAAGGAAAAAGAAAUGCAACCAGCCAAUAUACGAAAAGAACAUAAUGAUUGCUCUUCCCUGACCACUUUACUUGGCCCAGCCUCUCUGAAGACACAAAUUAACAGCAUUUGUGGAGAAUACACCGGUAUGCAUGUCCGCUAUCCUGAAAGGGGACCGCACAGGCUCUGUCCUGGGCAGUCACUCGAAUGCAUCUGCAAAGGGCUAGCCAAGCUACCACGGAGGCUCUGCCUCAUGCCGGGCCUCGUCUCAGGCCUGAGUGGUCAAUAACUGUGGAUUCCAAAGACACAAUAGAGCAUCUGUUUUAAAAAACAUACUUACCAGAUAUUUAAGGUUUCCCAGAAACAGACGUUGAAAAUGGAAACACUGGAAUUUCAUUUUUCAGUACUGUCUUAACUAUUUCAAAUACUG